Molecule: transfer RNA, 90 nt
Filed under: bacterium
Lineage: Bacteria
Description: tRNA-Ser
Rfam family: tRNA
About the family: Transfer RNA (tRNA) molecules are approximately 80 nucleotides in length. Their secondary structure includes four short double-helical elements and three loops (D, anti-codon, and T loops).
Source: RNAcentral
GGAGAGUUGGCUGAGCGGCUUAAAGCACUUCCCUGCUAAGGAAGAGUACGGGUAACUGUACCGAGAGUUCGAAUCUCUCACUCUCCGCCA